RNAcentral lists this ribosomal RNA (440 nucleotides) under uncultured bacterium. RNAcentral's name for it is "partial 16S ribosomal RNA". It matches the Rfam family "Bacterial small subunit ribosomal RNA", at positions 338 to 795 of the family's 1533-position model. The record is from RNAcentral.
CCUACGGGAGGCAGCAGUGGGGAAUAUUGCACAAUGGGGGAAACCCUGAUGCAGCGACGCCGCGUGAGGGAUGAAGGACUUCGGUUUGUAAAGCUCUAUCAGCAGGGAAGAAAAGUACGGUACCUGACCAGGAAUCCACGGCUAACUACGUGCCAGCAGCCGCGGUAAGACGUAGGGUGCAAGCGUUAUCCGGAAUUACUGGGGGUAAAGGGAGCGUAGACGGCAGCGCAAGUCUGAAGUGAAAUCCCAUGGCUUAACCAUGGAACUGCUUUGGAAACUGUGCACCUGGAGUGCAGGAGAGGUAAGCGGAAUUCCUGGUGUAGCGGUGAAAUGCGUAGAUAUUAGGAGGAACACCAGUGGCGAAGGCGGCUUACUGGACUGUAACUGACGCUGAGGCUCGAAAGCGUGGGGAGCAAACAGGAUUAGAUACCCCAGUAGUC